UACGUAGGUCCCGAGCGUUGUCCGGAUUUAUUGGGCGUAAAGCGAGCGCAGGUGGUUUAUUAAGUCUGGCGUAAAAGGCAGUGGCUCAACCAUUGUAUGCAUUGGAAACUGGUAGACUUGAGUGCAGGAGAGGAGAGUGGAAUUCCAUGUGUAGCGGUGAAAUGCGUAGAUAUAUGGAGGAACACCGGUGGCGAAAGCGGCUCUCUGGCCUGUAACUGACACUGAGGCUCGAAAGCGUGGGGGGCAAACAGG
Molecule: ribosomal RNA, 252 nt
Filed under: uncultured bacterium
Lineage: Bacteria
Description: partial 16S ribosomal RNA
Rfam family: Bacterial small subunit ribosomal RNA
Source: RNAcentral